CGAACGGGUGAGUAACACGUGGGCAACCUGGCCCAAAANAGGGGGAUAACACUUGGAAACAGGUGCUAAUACCGCAUAACCAUAGUUACCGCAUGGUAACUAUGUAAAAGGUGGCUAUGCUACCGCUUUUGGAUGGGCCCGCGGCGCAUUAGCUAGUUGGUGGGGUAAAGGCUUACCAAGGCAAUGAUGCGUAGCCGAACUGAGAGGUUGAUCGGCCACAUUGGGACUGAGACACGGCCCAAACUCCUACGGAAGGCAGCAG
RNAcentral lists this ribosomal RNA (262 nucleotides) under uncultured bacterium. RNAcentral's name for it is "partial 16S ribosomal RNA". It matches the Rfam family "Bacterial small subunit ribosomal RNA", at positions 99 to 354 of the family's 1533-position model. The record is from RNAcentral.